UGCCUGGGUGGCGGAACUGGUAGACGCACAGGACUUAAAAUCCUGCGGGUGGUGACACCCGUGCCGGUUCGAUUCCGGCCCUAGGCACCAA
This 91-nucleotide transfer RNA is filed under the name Turicibacter sanguinis PC909. Its description in RNAcentral is "tRNA-Leu". It matches the Rfam family "tRNA". Rfam says of the family: Transfer RNA (tRNA) molecules are approximately 80 nucleotides in length. Lineage: Bacteria; Bacillati; Bacillota; Erysipelotrichia; Erysipelotrichales; Turicibacteraceae. The record is from RNAcentral.